UAGGGAGGGUUUGACUGGCUGUGCUAUCUCUUUUCUGUUCUUUCUAAUCUAGUCUUCCUUUCCCUGUCUUUCAGUGAUCAUCCUCCCACAUCCUUUGAUGUGGGAGAACUGCGGCUGGGCUGAGUUGUAAGGGAUGCACUGCUGCAGAAGCCAGAGUCUGACCUCAUCUCCACCUGGUCCAGGAGGGGAGACUGAGGGAAGAGCUUAGAUUCAAAGCCAAGAACAUCUUGGCAGGAUGUGGCUUUUCAGGAGAUGAUUCUUCCUUGGAGUUCAGGAGCUAAUGCGUCAAGAGGACACUCAAGCAGUACUGGGAACAAGAGUCAACAACAAUGGCUCAUGGACCACAUGAGUGAACCAUCUUGGCAAUAGAAUCCAGCCCAAGGUCCUGGAACAAAAGACUGCUGAUUUGGAAGUUGAGAUUUCAUAUUCAUCAGAGGCACAGAGGGAACUGAGGCAUGACUCAAGGGAUGUGAUUGAGUCAUAGCAGACAGAGACUCGUCAACCUUGUAAAUGAAGUCAUGCUUUGUCUGCAAACAGAGAAAGUACACAUGCCUGGUAUCCAGGCUUCUGUCGUUUAUAACAGACUUUGAAAGGCACGUCAGCAAACAUUAAAACAGGUGAAUAAUCUCCUUUGUAUGUGAACAGGCUGGGGUUCAGAGAGAGGAGCCAAACUCGCCAACAUCAUAUGGCCACGCAGCAACAAGGCUUGUCCUGGAGCCCAGAUGGCAAGAGAGAAGAGGCAAUGCUUGUGUCUGGCUCUGCCACCUUGGGCAGCUGAAACAGAGUGAGAAGCUGACUGAUCUGUAGAGGCUUUCUCAUCCUGGGCUUGGACUUCUCCUUUGCUGACUGGAAGCGAUGAACAUUCCCUACUCCCUCUUCUCUGGAUUCACACUGUUCUCUGUGUCAGAAGUCUCUGGAAAACUUUAUACCUGCACACCUUCUCCACUGUGUAUUUCUCUUGAUUUUAUGAGUGGAAAGCUGUGGGGUAUGAGGAGCUCCAUACUCAGAACCCCUCACUCAACACUGCAUGAGAAGACACGAUUUUUCUCCUUCUUUGCACUCCAGGCUCUGCAUGAGAAGGGUGAAGGCUAUCUUCCCAGCCUGUCACAUAAAAUUAGGAUACUAAAACUACUUCAGGGAAAGAAAAUGGUUGUCAUCUUCUGUUGUCACUGAGUCUCUUGGUACAACUUUCUUGCUUAUACUGAGGUGGAAUGUGUGUGUUUGUAAUAUGUAUAUAAGCAUGUAUAACAUAUAUAUGUACAUACAUAAAUGUGUAUAUAUGCACAUAUAUGUAAUGUGUGUUUUAUGUGAAAUGUAGUACCAUUAAAGGAAAUGGAUGUUAAGUGCUUCUA
RNAcentral lists this small RNA (1352 nucleotides) under Rattus norvegicus (Norway rat). RNAcentral describes it as "uncharacterized LOC103692377". The record is from RNAcentral. Lineage: Eukaryota; Metazoa; Chordata; Mammalia; Rodentia; Muridae.